This 301-nucleotide ribosomal RNA is filed under the name uncultured bacterium. Its description in RNAcentral is "partial 16S ribosomal RNA". It matches the Rfam family "Bacterial small subunit ribosomal RNA", at positions 509 to 809 of the family's 1533-position model. The record is from RNAcentral.
CAGUAGCCGCGGGAAUACAGAGGGUGCGAGCGUUAAUCGGAUUUACUGGGCGUAAAGCGUGCGUAGGCGGCUUCUUAAGUCGGAUGUGAAAUCCCUGAGCUUAACUUAGGAAUUGCAUUCGAUACUGGGAAGCUAGAGUAUGGGAGAGGAUGGUAGAAUUCCAGGUGUAGCGGUGAAAUGCGUAGAGAUCUGGAGGAAUACCGAUGGCGAAGGCAGCCAUCUGGCCUAAUACUGACGCUGAGGUACGAAAGCAUGGGGAGCAAACAGGAUUAGAGACCCCAGUAGUCCCUGUCUCUUAUAA